RNAcentral lists this transfer RNA (85 nucleotides) under Callipsygma wilsonis. RNAcentral's name for it is "tRNA-Leu". It matches the Rfam family "tRNA". Rfam says of the family: Transfer RNA (tRNA) molecules are approximately 80 nucleotides in length. Their secondary structure includes four short double-helical elements and three loops (D, anti-codon, and T loops). Lineage: Eukaryota; Viridiplantae; Chlorophyta; Ulvophyceae; Bryopsidales; Halimedaceae. The record is from RNAcentral.
GUUACUAUGGUGAAAUGGUAGACAUACAGACUUGAGGGGUCUGUGGAAUCAAAAUUCCAUCUCGGUUCAAAUCCGAGUAGUAACA